Molecule: microRNA precursor, 105 nt
Filed under: Tursiops truncatus (common bottlenose dolphin)
Lineage: Eukaryota; Metazoa; Chordata; Mammalia; Artiodactyla; Delphinidae
Description: miRNA (ENSTTRG00000023244.1)
Source: RNAcentral
GCCUGGCUGGAUCCCUGUAUGCCAUUGGUGGUUUUGCCAUGAUUCAGCUGGAGUCUAAAGAAUUUGCACCCACUGAAGUCAAUGACAUAUGGAAGUAAGUUUUCU